Molecule: long non-coding RNA, 230 nt
Filed under: Mytilus galloprovincialis (Mediterranean mussel)
Lineage: Eukaryota; Metazoa; Mollusca; Bivalvia; Mytilida; Mytilidae
Source: RNAcentral
UCUUUUUAUAACAUAAACGGUAUCUAAUUUACUACAACAGAUGCGCUUUUCGACAACUAAUGUCUCUUUAGUGAUGCUGAAAAGGUUGAUAAUUUUAGGAAGCCUAAAAAAACUGAAGAUGAGCAAAAAGUUGAUAUAAAGAAGCGCGAAGUCCAAUAUUUCUUGACAUGAAAAACAUUUCCGUUUUAUCUCAUCUUUCACCUUAUUCGUUUUGUGUAUCCUUCUAUGUG